CACGUAGGCGGAUAUUUAAGUCAGGGGUGAAAUCCCAGAGCUCAACUCUGGAACUGCCUUUGAUACUGGGUAUCUAGAGUAUGGAAGAGGUGAGUGGAAUUCCGAGUGUAGAGGUGAAAUUCGUAGAUAUUCGGAGGAACACCAGUGGCGAAGGCGGCUCACUGGUCCAUUACUGACGCUGAGGUGCGAAAGCGUGGGGAGCAAACA
Molecule: ribosomal RNA, 207 nt
Filed under: uncultured bacterium
Lineage: Bacteria
Description: partial 16S ribosomal RNA
Rfam family: Bacterial small subunit ribosomal RNA
Source: RNAcentral